UGCUAGUCGAGCGCCUUCCAGCCACGAAGAAGGCGCGGCACACAGCUCAGUAACACGUAGCUAACCUGCCCUCGGGACGAGAACACCCCCGGGAAACUGGGGCUAAUUCUCGAUAGGCGAAGAACUCUGGAAUGAGUCUUUACCCAAAAGACGUUUAGAUCAUGCUUCUAGGCGUCGCCCAAGGAUGGGGCUGCGGCCGAUCAGGUAGUUGGUGAGGCAAUGGCUCACCAAGCCUUUAACCGGUGCGGGCCGUGGGAGCGGGAGCCCGGAGAUGGGCACUGAGACAAGGGCCCAGGCCCUACGGGGCGCAGCAGUCGCGAAAACUUUGCAAUAAGCGAAAGCUUGACAGGGCUAUCCCGAGUGCCAUCCGCUGAGGAAGGCUUUUACCCAGUCUAGUAAGCUGGGGGAAUAAGGAGAGGGCAAGUCUGGUGUCAGCCGCCGCGGUAAUACCAGCUCUCCGAGUGGUGUGGAUGUUUAUUGGGCCUAAAGCAUCCGUAGCUGGCUGAGUUAGUCCCCUGUUAAAUCCACCGAAUCAAUCGUUGGAUUGCGGGGGAUACUGCUCGGCUAGGGGACGGGAGAGGCAGACGGUAUUUCCGGGGUAAGGGUGAAAUCUUAUAAUCCCGGGAAGACCACCAGUGGCGAAGGCUGUCUGCUAGAACGCGCCCGACGGUGAGGGAUGAAAGCUGGGGUAGCGAACCGGAUUAGAUACCCGGGUAGUCCCAGCCGUAAACGAUGCANGCUAGGUGUUUGGGCGGCCACGUGCCGCUCUAGUGCCGCAGGAAAGCUGUUAAGCCUGCCGCCUGGGGAGUACGAUCGCAAGAUUGAACUUAA
This 831-nucleotide ribosomal RNA is filed under the name uncultured crenarchaeote. Its description in RNAcentral is "bacterial SSU rRNA". It matches the Rfam family "Archaeal small subunit ribosomal RNA", at positions 52 to 859 of the family's 1478-position model. The record is from RNAcentral. Lineage: Archaea; Thermoproteati; Thermoproteota.